AACGAACGCUGGCGGCAUGCCUAACACAUGCAAGUCGAACGAGACCUUCGGGUCUAGUGGCGCACGGGUGCGUAACGCGUGGGAAUCUGCCCUUGGGUUCGGAAUAACAGUUAGAAAUGACUGCUAAUACCGGAUAAUGUCUUCGGACCAAAGAUUUAUCGCCCAGGGAUGAGCCCGCGUAGGAUUAGCUAGUUGGUGAGGUAAAGGCUCACCAAGGCGACGAUCCUUAGCUGGUCUGAGAGGAUGAUCAGCCACACUGGGACUGAGACACGGCCCAGACUCCUACGGGAGGCAGCAGUGGGGAAUAUUGGACAAUGGGCGAAAGCCUGAUCCAGCAAUGCCGCGUGAGUGAUGAAGGCCUUAGGGUUGUAAAGCUCUUUUACCCGGGAUGAUAAUGACAGUACCGGGAGAAUAAGCCCCGGCUAACUCCGUGCCAGCAGCCGCGGUAA
RNAcentral lists this ribosomal RNA (449 nucleotides) under uncultured bacterium. RNAcentral describes it as "bacterial SSU rRNA". It matches the Rfam family "Bacterial small subunit ribosomal RNA", at positions 29 to 523 of the family's 1533-position model. The record is from RNAcentral.